AUGUCUCUUGAGGUCUUUUGCCAUUUUCCCCUUGGGUUUGGGGUUUUGUUGGGCUGUUGGCUGGUGUCUGCGGUCGAGCUGUUGAUUGGGAGACCCCAGGCUGACCUGGGCUCUGGUGCCAGGAGGAAAGUGCCUGAGGGUCGUGCAUGGAAGGUGGUCAAACGGUCCCCAAGAGUCCCCCCAAUCCCCUGGGGAACAGAGCUGUCUUUGUCCCUGUGGCGGGCGUGCUCACCUCUGCUGCUGGGAAAACAUCGACGUGCAGACAACUCAGGCCAGCUGCGGUGGGGUCCAUACACUAGGAAGCACGAGGGAAAGAGAGGACAAAAGGAAUGAACGGAAAGAAGCAGUAUUCUGGCAUAGGAAUGAAGGAGUCACAGCUGGAAUGCUAUGAAUUAAAUUUAAAAGCCCCGCUAUGUUCAUGCAGCACUCUUCCCAAUAGCCUGACAUGGAAAACAACUCAAUGUCCAUCGAGAGAUGAUUGGAUUAGGAAGAGAGUGGAUAUGUACACAUUGGAAUGCUCCUCAAACAUUGAGAAAAAAAAAAAAAAGCAGAACCCAGAAAACCCCAGAGCAAGAGGAAAAUGCCAUUCGCAGCCAUGUAGGUGGCACGAGAAGCUAGGUAACAACUCGUUUCAUACUAGGUGAACUAAGUCGGAACACGAACGACACAUACCAAGGGCUAUCCCUUCUAUCUGGAAGCUAACAAAUGGAACCAACGAAGCUUUCUAUGUAGAAGCAGCUCAUAGACUGGAAAACAUCGCUGUGGUUGCCAGAUGGUAGGGGGAGGCUGUGGGAAGGCCUGGGAUUUGGGAGUGGUAGAGUCAAACUCUUGUGCUUGGCAUGUGUUAGCAAUGAAGUCCUGCUCUAUAGCACAGGGAUUCUACCUGGCCACUUCUGUGGAACCAAAAUGGAAGACACUGCGACCAAAAGAAGAUGGAUAUACAUUACGACUGGAUUAAUUUUUUGUUCAAGUCAAAUUGAGCAUCAUAAAUUCGUGAAAAUAUAAAGUAAUCACUGAUUAAAUCCCAUAAAAUUAAUUCCUUAUGAUUCACCAUAUUAUGCAUAUUGGUAUAUACAUCUGCCUCUUUAGAAGACAGUCUAAUUGACUCCAUUGAACCUGAGAAGUUUUACCGGUAAAAUGACAUGGGAGCAGAUGUAAUUACCCAGUGUGUAUGUAUUUGUAUAAUAAUAUUUUUUAAUUUUUAAAUUACAUAUUUAUAUUCCUCCCCCCAUGUGUUGCAUGCAGAUACACUCUUCUCUGCAAAUGAUUCCACUCCUAUGCUCUAUAUCCCAAAUCUUGUACUAAAACACUCUGCCACCUGAUGUAAAGGUUU
Molecule: long non-coding RNA, 1333 nt
Filed under: Sus scrofa (pig)
Lineage: Eukaryota; Metazoa; Chordata; Mammalia; Artiodactyla; Suidae
Description: lncRNA (ENSSSCG00060071708.1)
Source: RNAcentral